This 253-nucleotide ribosomal RNA is filed under the name uncultured bacterium. Its description in RNAcentral is "partial 16S ribosomal RNA". It matches the Rfam family "Bacterial small subunit ribosomal RNA", at positions 524 to 776 of the family's 1533-position model. The record is from RNAcentral.
UACGGGGGGGGCAAGCGUUGUUCGGAAUUACUGGGCGUAAAGGGCUCGUAGGCGGCCAACUAAGUCGGACGUGAAAUCCCCAGGCUCAACCUGGGAACUGCGUCCGAUACUGGAUGGCUUGAAUCCGGGAGAGGGAUGCAGAAUUCCAGGUGUAGCGGUGAAAUGCGUAGAUAUCUGGAGGAAUACCGGUGGCGAAGGCGGCAUCCUGGACCGGCAUUGACGCUGAGGAACGAAAGCCAGGGUAGCGAACGGG